CUGGCGGCGUGCCUAAUACAUGCAAGUCGAGCGAACAGACGAGGAGCUUGCUCCUCUGACGUUAGCGGCGGACGGGUGAGUAACACGUGGAUAACCUACCUAUAAGACUGGGAUAACUUCGGGAAACCGGAGCUAAUACCGGAUAAUAUAUUGAACCGCAUGGUUCAAUAGUGAAAGACGGUUUUGCUGUCACUUAUAGAUGGAUCCGCGCCGCAUUAGCUAGUUGGUAAGGUAACGGCUUACCAAGGCAACGAUGCGUAGCCGACCUGAGAGGGUGAUCGGCCACACUGGAACUGAGACACGGUCCAGACUCCUACGGGAGGCAGCAGUAGGGAAUCUUCCGCAAUGGGCGAAAGCCUGACGGAGCAACGCCGCGUGAGUGAUGAAGGUCUUCGGAUCGUAAAACUCUGUUAUUAGGGAAGAACAAAUGUGUAAGUAACUAUGCACGUCUUGACGGUACCUAAUCAGAAAGCCACGGCUAACUACGUG
RNAcentral lists this ribosomal RNA (489 nucleotides) under uncultured bacterium. RNAcentral's name for it is "partial 16S ribosomal RNA". It matches the Rfam family "Bacterial small subunit ribosomal RNA", at positions 36 to 507 of the family's 1533-position model. The record is from RNAcentral.